RNAcentral lists this long non-coding RNA (2949 nucleotides) under Macaca fascicularis (crab-eating macaque). RNAcentral's name for it is "lncRNA (ENSMFAG00000064181.1)". The record is from RNAcentral. Lineage: Eukaryota; Metazoa; Chordata; Mammalia; Primates; Cercopithecidae.
UUUUUUUUUUUUAAAUUUAUUUAUUAUUAUUAUACUUUAAGUUGUAGGGUACAUGUGCAUAACGUGCAGGUUUGUUACAUAUGUAUACUUGUGCCAUGUUGGUGUGCUGCACCCAUCAACUCAUCGUUUACAUCCGGUAUAACUCCCAAUGCAAUCCCUCCCCCCUCCCCAUGAUAGGCCCGGUGUGUGAUGUUCCCCUUCCUGAGUCCAAGUGAUCUCAUUGUUCAGUUCCCACCUAUGAGUGAGAACAUGCGGUGUUUGGUUUUCUGUUCUUGUGAUAGUUUGCUAAGAAUGAUGGUUUCCAGCUGCAUCCAUGUCCCUACAAAGGACGCAAACUCAUCCUUUUGAUGGCUGCAUAGUAUUCCAUGGUGUAUAUGUGCCACAUUUUCUUAAUCCAAUCUGUCACUGAUGGACAUUUGGGUUGAUUCCAAGUCUUUGCUAUUGUGAAUAGUGCUGCAAUAAACAUACGUGUGCAUGUGUCUUUAUAGCAGCAUAAUUUAUAAUCCUUUGGGUAUAUACCCAGUAAUGGGAUGGCUGGGUCAUAUGGUACAUCUAGUUCUAGAUCCUUGAGGAAUCGCCAUACUGUUUUCCAUAAUGGUUGAACUAGUUUACAAUCCCACCAACAGUGUAAAAGUGUUCCUAUUUCUCCACAUCCUCUCCAGCACCUGUUAUUUCCUGACUUUUAAUGAUCGCCAUUCUAACUGGUGUGAGAUGGUAUCUCAUUGUGGUUUUGAUUUGCAUUUCUCUGAUGGCCAGUUAUGAUGAGCAUUUUUUCAUGUGUUUGUUGGCUGUAUGAAUGUCUUCUUUUGAGAACUGUCUGUUCAUAUCCUUUGCUCAAUUUUGAUGGGGUUGUUUGUUUUUUUCUUGUAAAUUUGUUUGAGUUCUUUGUAGGUUCUGGAUAUUAGCCCUUUGUCAGAUGAGUAGAUUGCAAAAAUGUUCUCCCAUUCUGUAGGUUGCCUGUUCACUCUGAUGGUAGUUUCUUUUGCUGUGCAGAAGCUCUUUAAUUUAAUGAGAUCCCAUUUGUCAAUUUUGGCUUUUGCUGCCGUUGCUUUUGGUGUUUUAGACAUGAAGUCUUUGCCCAUGCCUAUGUCCUGAAUGGUACUACCUAGGUUUUCCUCUAGGAUUUUUAUGGUAUUAGGUCUAACAUUUAAGUCUCUAAUCCAUCUUGAAUUAAUUUUUGUAUAAGGAGUAAGGAAAGGAUCCAGUUUCAGCUUUCUACUUAUGGCUAGCCAAUUUUCCCAGCACCAUUUAUUAAAUAGGGAAUCCUUUCCCCAUUUCUUGUUUCUCUCAGGUUUGUCAAAGAUCAGAUGGCUGUAGAUGUGUGGUAUUAUUUCUGAGGACUCUGUUCUGUUCCAUUGGUCUAUAUCUCUGUUUUGGUACCAGUACCAUGCUGUUUUGGUUACUGUAGCCUUGUAGUAUAGUUUGAAGUCAGGUAGCGUGAUGCCUCCAGCUUUGUUCUUUUGACUUAGGAUUGUCUUGGAGAUGCGGGCUCUUUUUGGUUCCAUAUGAACUUUAAAGCCGUUUUUUCCAAUUCUGUGAAGAAACUCAUUGGUAGCUUGAUGGGGAUGGCAUUGAAUCUAUAAAUUACCUUGGGCAGUAUGGCCAUUUUCACGAUAUUGAUUCUUCCUAUCCAUGAGCAUGGUAUGUUCUUCCAUUUGUUUGUGUCCUCUUUGAUUUCACUGAGCAGUAGUUUGUAGUUCUCCUUGAAGAGGUCCUUUACAUCCCUUGUAAGUUGGAUUCCUAGGUAUUUUAUUCUCUUUAAAGCAAUUGUGAAUGGAAGUUCAUUUCUGAUUUGGCUCUCUGUUUGUCUGUUACUGGUGUAUAAGAAUGCUUGUGAUUUUUGCACAUUAAUUUUGUAACCUGAGACUUUGCUGAAGUUGCUUAUCAGCUUAAGGAGAUUUUGGGCUGAGACAAUGGGGUUUUCUAAAUAUACAAUCAUGUCAUCUGCAAACAGGGACAGUUUGACUUCUUCUUUUCCUAACUGAAUACCCUUGAUUUCUUUCUCUUGCCUAAUUGCCCUAGCCAGAACUUCCAACACUAUGUUGAAUAGGAGUGGUGAGAGAGGGCAUCCCUGUCUGUGCCAGUUUUCAAAGGGAAUUUUUCCAGUUUUGCCCAUUCAGUAUGAUAUUGGCUGUGGGUUUGUCAUAAAUAGCUCUUAUUAUUUUGAGGUACAUUCCAUCAAUACCGAAUUUAUUGAGCGUUUUUUAGCAUGAAGGGCUGUUGAACUUUGUCAAAAGCCUUUUCUGCAUCAAUUGAGAUAAUCAUGUGGUUCUUGUCUUUGGUUCUGUUUAUAUGCUGGAUUAUGUUUAUUGAUUUACGAAUGUUGAACCAGCCUUGCAUCCCAGGGAUGAAGCCCACUUGAUCAUGGUGGAUAAGCUUUUGAUGUGUUGCUGAAUCCGGUUUGCCAGUAUUUUAUUGAGGAUUUUGCAUCGAUGUUCAUCAGGGAUAUUGGUCUAAAAUUCUCUUUUUUUGUUGUGUCUCUGCCAGGCUUUGGUAUCAGGAUGAUGUUGGCCUCAUAAAAUGAGUUAGGGAGGAUUCCCUCUUUUUCUAUUGAUUGGAAUAGUUUCAGAAGGAAUGGUACCAACUCCUCCUUGUACCUCUGGUAGAAUUCAGCUGUGAAUCCAUCUGGUCCUGGACAUUUUUUUGGUUGGUAGGCUAUUAAUUAUUGCCUCAAUUUCAGAGCCUGCUAUUGGUCUAUUCAGGGAUUCAACUUCUUCCUGGUUUAGUCUUGGAAGAGUGUAAGUGUCCAGGAAAUUAUCCAUUUCUUCUAGAUUUUCCAGAUUAUUUGCGUGAGGUGUUUAUAGUAUUCUCUGAUGGUAGUUUGUAUUUCUGUGGGGUCGGUGGUGAUAUCCCCUUUAUCAUUUUUAAUCGCGUCAAUUUGAUUCUUCUCUCUUUUCUUCUUUAUUAGUCUUGCUAGUGGUCUGUCAAUUUUGUUGAUCUUUUCAAAAA